Molecule: long non-coding RNA, 771 nt
Filed under: Ananas comosus (pineapple)
Lineage: Eukaryota; Viridiplantae; Streptophyta; Magnoliopsida; Poales; Bromeliaceae
Description: long non-coding RNA (ACOM_LNC015698)
Source: RNAcentral
AUAGAUUUAUUUUUUUUUAAUAAAAGUUGUCAUUUAAUAAUUUGAUUUGAUCGGAUAGGUGGCGUAUUUUAUAAAAUUAGUGCACUUCUGUACGAAAGUAUAUUUUUCUUAUCAUGUAAUUAUCGCUGAUAAUGAAAUCUGAUGAAGACAAUCUUCAUUGAUAAGCGCAAAAGACAAUUGUAGGAUCGUGGACCCGAGCCAUUAGUUUUAAAAAUUCAAACUGUUAGAAAAAAAUGCAAUAAAUUCAUUCAAGACUUACAGACACAGAAUUCGGUUCAGCCAUCUUCUUUCUGUUUCGAAUAUGCCUUGAUCCAAUCUGACCUCCUGUCACUUCGAACGUAAUUCGGCCAACCUAACUUCUCGACAUAGGUCAAGAUGCUGAUCUCUUUAAACCAACAAAAAUUUGAUGUUUGAUGAAUGCACGCGGUUCGAAAGAACAAGCUAGAGGGAGCUAGAUAAAAUAUAUUAUUUGCACUUGCUUCAAACCCUACAUUGUGGACGGCAUAUAUAUAUAUAAGGCUAUAUAUAAGGUUUAUGUCCUUACUAGCUUAUUUUUAUAAUAUUAUUAAAAAAAAGAAUUAUUUAUUAUUGAGUUUAUAAGCUAAAGUAUUAUUCUUUCGUAGCUUAAGUUUUUUUUAAAAAAAAUAAUAUUUGAUUCGCAUGAUUUAAAAUAAUAUGAAAGUAGAAGGUCUUGAAUUUUAGUUCUGUCGACUCCUUACAAUUAUUUUGUUUCCUUCUUUUUAAUUCAACUCAAUAUCUUGAUCGACCAAA